This 2277-nucleotide long non-coding RNA is filed under the name Homo sapiens (human). RNAcentral's name for it is "HSALNT0372978". The record is from RNAcentral. Lineage: Eukaryota; Metazoa; Chordata; Mammalia; Primates; Hominidae.
AUCGCAGUUCCGACGGCAGCCGCCGUUUCGCGACCCACGGCGGACUUGCAUAAACACUUUCUAGUUGGAAUCUCACCCUGUGAGGUGGGCAAGGUAGUGAUAUUCCUGUUUGACGCCGACAGAAAUAAGAGAGAUUGACUCUCAGAACCAUGUGGCGGGAUUUUAAAGGAGGAUCUUAACAGUGGCUCGGACAGACCCGUGUUUUCUGCUCCUAGCAUUAACUACGUCGUUAAACCCUUCUGAAUUUAUUUCGUCUGUGAAAUGGGGAAAAGAUAGCCACCUUGCAUAACUGGUGAAGAAUUCGUAAACUGACAGCAGAAUCUAGUAAGAGGACUGGCCCGUGGUCGGCUCUUAAUGGUGUCACAGAAUAAAGAAAAAGACUGGGAGAGAGAUGGGAGCUGAUAGACCAGAGGAGACCAAAGACUGAAACUGAAGACUAAACCAUGGAAAUUGGGAACAAGCACUUACUCGCUUAGAGGGUGAAAAAAGUGAAUUUGCCUACAGGGCCAAUUUGGAAGCACCUCUCCCUGGAAGCCAGUCAAUGAAGAGCCAUUGGAGGAUUUUAAAUAAGGAACCGAAAAAUGGAGUCUGAAAAUAGAGGCGCAGAGACCGGUUCUUCCCCAAACCAUCAUGGACCAGUUGGACUCUGAGAAGAAAAGUUUCUGAUCUUUAGUUCAUUCUUCCAACUCUCUAGAAAGCAGGAAAACUGAGAAUGAAAAAUUCUAAAUUACUCAGGACUCAUGGGUUGCCAAUAGAAGAAAUACAUCUUAAACUAGCUUAAGCCUGAAAGGGAAAUGUAUUUGUUCAUGUAACUGAACCAUAACGAAGGAUGGUGGACUGAGGGACCUGAAAACACCCUCAGGACUCCCUCCCUCUCCUUUGUGCUCCUGUCUGAUGCCGUCUUCCCAGACCUGCUCACUCUCCAUAAGGUGGGGAUGUGGCCAUCAGCAACGUGUACUUCCCCGAAGCUUGUGACCUGAGUAGAUAGGCAUCUCCCAACCCACAAGGAUUGAAAAGUUCCUCUAGGAAUUAUGUGGAUUGGCCCAUUCACUAUGACAUGUUCCCCCUAAGCAGCUAAAGGAACUGGGUCUGUUACCAGAAGAGGUGGGAGAGGGGUGCUAGGCAGAUUGAACAACAGCCACUACAACAUCUGAGGAGGAGACCUCCGUGAAGGCCACCAAGUCUGCUAGCAGAUAUUUCCUCCCUCGGAUCUCUCUCCCUGUCCUCACAGUCUCAUAAGUGAGGAUUAAAUACUACAUGUGGCCUAGGAGAUCUUAGACCCUCCACACGAAGAUAUAGUAACAAUCAACAUCCUAGUGUUCUGGCAGAGAAAAAAUCAGAAAGAAUCGUUUGCCUGAUUUUUCCAUCAAUACCAAUAAUUAAUUAGAGAUGAAAUUUGUGAUGGACUCAGAGAAUUAGAGAAGAUCUAAGGGAAUCUAGAUGAUUUCCUACCCCUAACCAGAGCCUCACAAAAAAGGGUGAAGAUCUAUGGCCGUCUUGCGUUUGGUGUGAGGCUGGACAAGGAAGUUCCUAAGGUCCUUUAGACUCUGUGAGAUCAUGAGUCCGUAAAACCCUUCCAACUUGAAAUUAGUUGAUUCCUUCCUUAAAUUUUCUGGGACAUUCCCCCACUCCCUCCACUCUUAUUAGCUGAUUUUACUGACCAAUAGGCCUUGAAGUUGGGCGUUCCAUCUAGAUGUCUCACAUCAACUCACCUUUUGCAAAUUAAGCCCAUACCCUUAAAGAGGGGAAUUCUCAAGCCAUUAGAAACUAGAGAGUCAGCUGGGCAUGGUGGCUCACGCCUGUAAUCCCAGAACUUUGGGAGGCCAAGGUGGGUGGAUCACUUGAGGUCAGGAGUUCGAGUCCAGCCUGACCAACAUGGCGAAACCCCGUCUCUACUAAAAAUACAAAAAUUAGCCAGGGGUGAUGGCAUGCACCUGUAAUCCCAGCUACUCAGGAGGCUGAGGCAGGAGAAUUGCUUGAACCUGGGAGGCGGAGGUUGCAGUGAGCCAAGUUUGCACCACAGCACUCCAGCCUGGGCAACAGAGUGAGACUCAGUUUCAAAAAACAAAAGAACAAACAAACAAAAACUAGAGGGUCUCCUCUUAGUUCUUAAACCCUCUUAGUCAACAUUUGUGAGCCUCUUUUCUGUAUGUUUUGGCAUCUUUAUUCCUUUCCUUCGUGUCUUGACCAAAUUCACCAGAUCAUGACUCAGAACAAAAUCCUGAGGUUGAAUAUAGAGGUCUAGAACAUCUUCAAAUUAACUGUUUCUCCUCAUAG